Molecule: long non-coding RNA, 8372 nt
Filed under: Populus tremula
Lineage: Eukaryota; Viridiplantae; Streptophyta; Magnoliopsida; Malpighiales; Salicaceae
Description: long non-coding RNA (PTRE_LNC003296)
Source: RNAcentral
CGAUCUGCUCCUUCCUCUUGUUCUUCAGAUCGUCUUCCAUGUACUGGCGACGACUGCUGGAGGCCGAAGCAGCGGGUGGCGCCGCUGGGGAAAGGAGCUGCUGCGGUUGGCUUCGGUGGGCGCUGGGUUUCGUCUUCUUCUCCUCUGCUUCGGGUGGCAGAUCGGUGGCUUGGUGGAGAUGGGAGAACGGCUCUGUAGGGAGGAGCUGGAAACCCGAGAUGGCAGGGGAGAGAAGAGGGGCGGCGCUGAAAAAAGGUGGUGUUGUGGUCGGCUGAAGAGGUUCUGGCCGGCGGUGAGAUGGUGUGGGUUUGUGAAGGAUAUAUUAUCAACCGGCUGAGGGGGAGGAGAAAAUUCCAGCCGGUGAGUUGCUGUUUGGCCCGUGGGGAAAAAUCAAAUGCCAGGGGUCUUUGUUUCUCUGGUUUCGGCUGGGGAAGGAGGCUGAAAUGGGGUUGUCGGGUUGAAGAUGGGGGCGGCUUCGGCUGUUGUUUUGGAUUUGUUUGUGGCCGAGAGAAAGGGAACGGCGGAGAAAGAAGAUGAAAACAGGGGGAGGCUGGUUCGGGUGGCCGGUUUUUUUGGGUCAGAAAAAUCAAACCGAGGAGCAACUCCGGGAGACCAAAAAUGAAAACCAGGGGGGGCGGCUGGUGUGAAGGAAAAAGGUUUUUUUUUUUUUAGGGUUAGGGUUUCUGUAUUUUUUUUCUUCUAAAAGUGUCAAAAUUACCCCCCUUGAAUGUUUGAGGGUAUUUAUAGGCAAAAUGUUGCUAGGUUUUUCAACUUGGUCCCUCAACUUCUUUCUUUUUUGUAAAUUUUGAUUUUUCUUAUUUUUUUGUAUUUUUUUGAAAACGAGCAAUAUCAACGUCGACUUAAAUGCGAAAAACAAUGAUUUAAAAAUGACGCGUGAAACGUCGAACGUUUGAAAAUAUUUUAACCAUUUAAAUUCUUUUUUUAGACGACGUUAAAAAUGCUAAAAUGACGAAAAUAUAUUAAAAAACAUAUUUUUGGAUUUUCUUUUUUUCUCAAUUUUUUUGGAUUUUUGAAAAUAUAUCAAAACAUGGGUCAAAAAAUGGGUAGCAACAGAUGCCCCCUCUUUACAAUGCUUACGAAGCGAAAAAACCUCAAAAUUUUGCAUAGUAAGCUUUGUAAAGAAAACAAAAGGAAAAUGAUUUCAUUAUCUUGGGCAACCUGCCUACACAUACUCACUCUAGUCUAUUUUCACGGGCGACCUGCCCACAUAUUGGGUUUACCUGAGAUCCCAUCUGGCGACCUCAUUCAACUGGAACGAAAAUUUUGUGUAACUCGGUUAACCUGAAAUCCCAUCUGGCGAUUCCCUUUAACCAAAGCUACCCGAGAUCCCAUCUGGCGACCUCGUUUAACCAAAACAAAAGAAUGUGUGAAAAAUGGUCUCAUUGUAUGGGUGACAAACCCAAGAAAAAAAUGAUGGUCUCAUUGUAUGGGUGACGAACCCUAGAAAAAUGAUGGUCUCAUUGUAUGGGUGACGAACCCCAGAAAUAUGAUGGUCUCAUUGUAUGGGUGACGAACCCUAGAAAUAUGAUGAAGUGCGGUCUCAUUGUCAUGGGUGACCUACCCGGAUGGAAAAAAUGUGAAAAACGGUCUUAUUAUGAUGGGCGACCUACCCAGAUGGAAAAAAAUGUGAUAUGACAAGUGUGAAAAAUAGGACUUACCUGGCGAAGUUCUGAAGGGAUGACAGAAGAAAGGGCUGGAAGACUUGGUGCUUCCUGAUAAUUCCCGAUCAUGAGGUUUGAAAACUCGGUGUUUCCUGACUGCAAGGGUUGAAAACUCGAGGCUUCCCGGUUGCAAGGUUGAUCUAUUCAUUUCUUUGGGAUUUUCCUAAUGGUAGGGUUCAUCCCAUCGUCCUUUUAUUCCAUGAUCAAACCGAUUCUUUAUUAUCAUCACCACAAUGCUUCUUUCUCUUUCCACCAUCUUACUGGACCUCAUUAAGGAUUUUCCUGUAACAAUUCAAAAAUAUGUGCAGAUGGUUUUUUUUUUUUUUUUUUAGGUUAGAUGAUAUGCAUGCAUCCUUACCUGAUUUGAAAUAAUAGGUCCCCCCUCUUUGAUGCUCCAUCGUCAUAGGGUGCCCUUGUUUGUAUCCCAAAGCUUUCUUUGUUCUUCCGAUGUAUUGGCUCAUUCAUGUGUUAGCCAUCCACUCAGCUGUAAAUGCAGUGCCCAUCCCGGGCGGGCUGUCUUCGACAAUUACUGCUUGCAUCGUUCAUGAAGCUUGACCCUGCCCCCAAGUGUGGUGCUGCUUGAUUCAUCCUGAAGGAUUUUCUCUCCUAGCUUCCUCUGAGAAUUAUCUUCUGAUUGAUUGUGUGCAUCAUGCCAAUACCCAUCAAGAUUGUUAAUCAGUCAUGAACUUGCCUCUAGUUGAAACAGUAUUCUUCAAGCACAUGUUAUCAUCAGCCUUCUUGGAACUCAUCCAGUCAUCCAGACAUGCAUCUCAUAACUUGCAGUACAAAGGCUCAUGGUUGUAUGUUCAGUGUUCUUCUCAAUAGAUUCCCUUCAAACUCUUCUAAUCAGAUUUGUGAAAAGAAAUGUCUCAGCCUCAUCAAUGAUGCUGCUUUUUUUAUCCCCCAUACUCAUGCGGUGAAGCGCUCAUCUGGCUUCAGAACAAGUUGUCCCACAACCAUGUUGCAAAGGAUGACAAUAUGAGAUUGUCCUUUAAGUGCAGCAUUGUUCCACAGUCAGUCUUGGUGGUGUGCAUAUGUUCGAUGUUCAUUCAAAUGCACUCACCCGAUAACAUCUGUCAGGAGCCACAACCAUGUUUCAGAGGGUGACCCAAGAUGAAGAUAUGAAAAUAUCCUUCAAGUAAAGCGUUGCUCAUCAAUUGCUGCUGAAGUUCACUAAAUCAUGGAUUGUCUUUGAACGACAUUGCCCCUAGUUGAUCUGAACAUGCUCAUUCUUCUGUUUACAACCAAAUGGCUUUUGUGAAUGCCAGGAAUGACUUUGAUGGACUUUGAUGACUCAUCAUGUGAUUCUUUCUUUGCCCCCAGCUGAUCUGGAUACUGUUUGUUUUUCCUUUUCAAGGUCUACUGUAUUGCCCCCAGCUGCUCAACUUUUCAAGGAGUGUCGAGGACUUCAAUGUCAUUUCUAUCAACGAUUUUGCAUACUCAAUCAAUGUUCUUCUGUGUUUGAUAAUCUUCCUUGUUCUGGAAUCAACUCUCAUAUUUCAAAGAUCAUGUCUAUUCAAAGUCUAGUUUGUUGAAAUGAAAUCAGAGAUGUCUUUUUGAAAAUCUUUUGAAAAUCAAGCUUUUUGAUCAAAGGCCCAACACAUUUUAUUCGAAAUAUAUAGUCCUUUGAUUGUCAUGCAUUUUGAAAACAGAAAUUGACCCAAUGUAGGAUUAAAAAUGGCUUUUUCCAUGGUUCUUUGUAUCAAUUUGAAUCCUUGAUAUUGGGUAUAUCAUUUGAUAGUCUAUGAUGAGGUGACCUUUGCAUGAAUUUCAAAAAAAACAAAUGCUCAAGUCAAAACUUGGCUUUAUCAAGAAAGGUUGUUUCUUUCUUAUAACUUGUUUUAUCAGCAUGCAUAAUAACCAAUAGCUUAAUUCAUGAAGUCACGACCCUUAUGGAAAAACUCUUCAAGUUUUGAGAGCGCCAUUUAUCGGUUCAAAUUGCUUGCUUGAUUAAAAAGGGCUUUUAAAAGCACGUAAUGCAGGCUAUGGUUCAUGGCUAUGAAAGAAAGGAAUUUCAAAGGCUCAAAAGGUGUUUGAGGGUUUCAAAGACCUAGGAUCAACAUCAACUAUUCAUCAACUCUUUUAUUGUUGUCUUUGUAGAGGAAACGACAUAUAACCUUGUUAACCUCAAAGUUCAGACUUUUCUUAACAUAAGUCAUAAUGCAAAUCCACCUUUCCUUGAUGAAUAACCAACCUUAAUCAUCUGAUAACAUCAAGGCUUUAUAAUGGACACCAAAAGUCACGUUUAUAGCUUAGUCUUUUUCUGGUAUUGACUUUUGUUGUGCCUUUCCUUGAUUGAAAUUUCUUUUGCUCUUCAUAGACUUGAUAGGCGUUCUCCUUCCUUUAUCUUUGACUUGUAUUUAAGUGAGGAAUUUCAACUUCCUUUUUUUUUCUUUUUUUUUCAUAGCCUUCCUCAAAAUUUUCUUAUAUGCCCCAGUCUAUGUGUUUUCUUUUAGCUCUUCUCAAUCAUUGGACUUUGUUCUAAGCCUUCCCCUUUAUCCAUUAAUUAUAUCAAUGUCUCCAAAAUAUCUCUCAUUUGCCCCCAGUGUGGGGUGUGAUCCUAGUCAGGGUUUCUUUUUGAAAGAAAAUAUUUUACCAGCUCAAAAUGGGACUACAAGGGAUAUAAUCUUUAGAAAGUGAAGAGAUAUCAAAGAUGGCCUUUUCUCAUUUCAAGCAAGGUCGGUUAGAACCGAUAAAUUUUGACCUCAUCUAGUGUAAUGAUUUGUACUUGCAAGAAUCAUGAUUCACGAGUCCAUAACUAUUGAAUCCACUACAUGUCAUUAUGCAUACUGCUAAAACUUAGCUAUAUGAUGUGUGGUUCAAUCUUGUGUAUGAGCUCAAAAUUUGUUUGGUCACCUCAUGUCAUUUCAACAAGAAUCGAGUCAUUUCUGCAAUCAAAACACUUUGUCAAAAUAAAAUGUUAAACAUCUGUUGAUUUCAAAACAACAAAAAGACAAAAGUUAGGCAUGUUUCGUUGAAGGAUGAGAUGUGAUAUCAAAACAAAAAUGCAAAAUCCAUAACAAAAAUGCUUGACAGUUUAACUCCUUCUUGGAUCAGCUUCUCUGGCAAUAUCUAUGUUUUGCCGAGCAAUUCCGAUCACUUAUCAUUCUAAAAAUGAUUGAUGACAUCAUCUUUUGCAAAUUGAGCUCGACUCUUGAAACUCUUGCAUCUGUUUACUAAAAUGGUCGAGGACCCCACCAUGACAUCACAUCUCUUAUCUGGAUUAUACCACCUAGAAAUUGGUGGUUGCAUGGGAUUUGUCGGAGUCAAGCAAAAAUUCUAGAAUUUGGCAGGUGUUGGCCGACAAACAUAAGUGGCAGAGGAAUGUCAAUCUUGGCAAAGACAUUUGAGCAAUUGAUGCUUGAGCGAGACUUGACUAGGCAAAGUAACUGAGGUUUCUCAAUCGAGAGUCAUCUUCUGAUGCACCUCUCAUCAUUGUUCUGGAAUCCAUGGCAGAUCCUUCAAUCUUUCCUCUCUUCAUAGCUUGUUCAAUUCUUCGGCCAAUCCUCACAACAUCAUUUCAAUGUUGUUGUGGUUGGUUGAGGAUUGUUAGAAAACUUUCCAAUAGCUUGGUAAUCUUGGCAGCGCCUAGAAACUCGUACUAUCGCCGCUACCGACGUGUGGAAUCACACAUUGUCUCUAUUGGAAGAGCACCUGGUGAAUCUAAAACUCUUUUGUCCCCUCUUCAAUUUCUCACUGACAGUGCAGCAAACAAACACCUAUAGAGGAAGUCCUGCUCUGUUGAAGUUUCAGUCUUCUUCAUGUUUUUCAGUCUAGGCAUGUCUCUUCUCUCUACUCUUGCAUUUUAAUACUGACACUGUUGGAGGAAAAUCAUAGCUGAUCUGAAACUACUGUAUUCCUUCUUGGAUUUCCCAUUUGCAGAUCUACAAACAGAUUCCUGUUGAAAGAGCUCUGCUACGUUGAAGUUUGAAGUCUGCUCGUAUUUUUCAGACCAGGUCUGGAUCUUCAAUGUACUAAAAUGUCUCCGUGCUGAAACUGAUGAGAGAAAUAUUUGUAGCAUAUAUGCAACUUAUAAAUUCCCUCUUGCAUUCCCAAUUUGCAGAGCCAUAAAUGGAUUUUUAUGGAGGGAGCUCUGCCACAUUGAAGUUCAGUGUUUAAUCAUGGUUUUUCAGACCAUCUUGUGCUGCUGAACUGGAGUUGAGCUCAUAAUUGGGGUGGCUUCCAAGAAGACUAAUGCGCCAUGUACAAGAGGCUAGUAGUCGUUUGGUUCCAUUAGAUGAUGUGGAGGCGAUGAACAUUUAACAGUGCAAGUGGGCAAGAACCAGAGUUGUCAUUAGUUGAUGACUAAAGGCAUUGUUGUUGUUGUUCAUGACGGAAAAGGAGAGAUACAGCUUCAAUUGGACAGGAACAAGCAGUGUUCCCACAGAAAACUAUGCAGACACUCUCUUUCCAUUUGAUGCUCAACACUUGUUCGAGCAGAUCUGAGUCCCGCUACUUCACCCUUGAUGCUCUCAACCUUAAUCUGAUAAUGAACCUAUAUCUGACUCCUUUGUUCACUUCCAUUAUCUUUCUUCAAUCUCAUGCAGCACAGCUUGUACAGGGGACCUACGUUUCAGCCCGGUACAUGCAUGAUAAAUGUAUGAACAUGUAAUCUAUAUGAUGAACUCACCCUUCGAGAGGUGACAAUAUGGUCGUAACUCUUGUAUGAUGGACAAGAAUCGUGAUUUUUGCCCAAACUCUACAAUGAAAAUUUUCGGAGCAACGGCCAAUGUGUCACCCACAAGUCUUGAGUUCAAGAUGCUUCAAGAAGGGUUUGCCCUUAUGCAAAAAACGAUAGCACAUACAACCUAAGGACAGGUUCUAUUCAUUAUGUGAACAUGGGUAGGUUUUCUAUCUGGUCUCAAAAGGGUCUCAUAUCUGCCCAGUGACGUUCUUCGUAAAGACAGUAUGGGGGCGUUGCAAAGAAUGGUUAAGGCACGUAUACCCACCAUUACCAAGCAGGCACUCAGAUAUGAGUUGGGUGUUUCACGCAUCUGAACCCUGACCAAUAGUCUUAGGGCAGAUCGCUAGUUCCCCACCUAACCUAGAGGCUUGCGUGUGCUUUUCAAAAUAAAUACAGGUGAUGCAUGAAACAAUUCUAAAAAUGCAUGGAAAAAAUAUAACAAGAUAAAAAUGCAAAAAUUUAAACACAUCAAAUACACAAAGCUUAGUCCAAUAAUGUCAGAAACAAUACCUUCCCCAGUGGAGUCGCCAUUCUGUCGCACCCCAAAAAAAAAAUCAGCGCGCGGCAUCGGCUGGCGAUUUAAAUCUCGUUUAUUGCGUUUGCUUGAAUUUGGUUCGUUGGAGUCGCCACCUAGUAAUUGAUUUCGGGCUACUAGGAAACCGGAUGUACUGGUCUUGCCAAAGAUUCGCGGGUAAGUGACUGGUUGUGGUUAGGGAAGGUAUUAGCACCCCUAACGCACCCUACCUGAGGUAAGCUGCUUCGUGGCUUUGACGUGUUAAAGAAGUUUUAAUAAUUGUCUUUUCUUCGGAAAUUAGAAAUAUCACUUACGUAUAAGUUAAUAAUUCUUAACCGUGAUCUGAUCAAAAUAUUAAAUUCUUCUUCAAUAUAUUUCCAAUUUUAUCCUAAAAAAACAAAUAUAUAUAAUAUAUAUAUAUAUAUAUAUAUAUAUAAAUAAGUAAAACAAAAUACAAACACACACAUUCCCUAUUUUCAUUUCUUUUCUUUUUCUUUUCUUUUACAUCCACAAUACAAAUACAAAUUCAAAUACAAAAUAAAUAAAUAAAAAUACACCAACACACACAUCCCCUUUUUAUUAUUAUUUUCUCUUCUUUUCUUCUUUUUUUUUUCUUUUACAUUCACAUAUUACAAAUUUAAAAUAAAUAAACAAAAAUUACAUUAAAACUUUAAAAUUUACAAAAUGGUCCCUCAAAACUCCCGAAAUUGCAGGGAAGGACUUAUGCACCCGUAUGACCAGUUCCGGCGCGCCUCUGCCACUGGCGGCGCGUGGGUUCACGCGCCGCCCAGAAAUUCAGGCGGCGUGAGGGGGCUGCAAUGGCUUCCUCCCCUCUUCAAUCUCCUGCUGCCCGUCACCUGCAAAACGAACAACAACACAAUCGGCAGUCGAUUUUAAUUUUGUUCUUUGUUUUUUUUUUUUCAAAAUCUGCUUCGGAUCUGAUUUUUUUGGUCUUCCUUUCUUCUCCGAUCUGCUCCUUCCUCUUCUUCUUCAGAUCGUCUUCCAUGUACUGGCGACGACUGCUGGAGGCCGAAGCAGCGGGUGGCGCCGCUGGGGAAAGGAGCUGCUGCGGUUGGCUUCGGUGGGCGCUGGGUUUCGUCUUCUUCUCCUCUGCUUCGGGUGGCAGAUCGGUGGCUUGGUGGAGAUGGGAGAACGGCUCUGUAGGGAGGAGCUGGAAACCCGAGAUGGCAGGGGGAGAGAAGAGGGGGCGGCGCUGAAAAAGGUGGUGUUGUGGUCGGCUGAAGAGGUUCUGGCCGGCGGUGAGAUGGUGUGGGUUUGUGAAGGAUAUAUUAUCAACCGGCUGAGGGGGAGGAGAAAAUUCCAGCCGGUGAGUUGCUGUUUGGCCCGUGGGGAAAAAUCAAAUGCCAGGGGUCUUUGUUUCUCUGGUUUCGGCUGGGGAAGGAGGCUGAAAUGGGGUUGUCGGGUUGAAGAUGGAGGGGGCGGCUUCGAGCUGUUGUUUUGGAUUUGUUUGUGGCCGAGAGAAAGGGAACGG